UACGGAGGGGGCGAGCGUUAUUCGGAAUCAUUGGGCGUAAAGGGCGCGUAGGCGGCCCCGUAAGUCUUGGGUGAAAGCCCUCGGCUCAACCGAGGAAUUGCCUUGGAUACUGCGGGGCUCGAGGCUGGAAGAGGGCAGUGGAAUUCCCGGUGUAGCGGUGAAAUGCGUAGAGAUGUGGAGGAACACCGAUGGCGAAGGCAGCCCCCUGGGUCAAGAUUGACGCUCAUGCACGAAAGCGUGGGGAGCAAACAGG
RNAcentral lists this ribosomal RNA (253 nucleotides) under uncultured bacterium. Its description in RNAcentral is "partial 16S ribosomal RNA". It matches the Rfam family "Bacterial small subunit ribosomal RNA", at positions 524 to 776 of the family's 1533-position model. The record is from RNAcentral.